GAUGAACGCUAGCGGCAGGCCUAACACAUGCAAGUCGAGGGGCAUCAUGGCGUAGCAAUACGCUGAUGGCGACCGGCGCACGGGUGCGUAACGCGUAUGGAACCUACCCACCGCAGGGGGAUAACCCGCCGAAAGGCGGACUAAUACCCCAUGGUUCCCCGACCCUGCCUGGGGUUGGGGGUAAAGCCUACGGGCGGCGGUGGAUGGCCCUGCGUGCCAUUAGCUGGCUGGUGGGGUAACGGCCCACCAGGGCGACGAUGGCUAGGGGGUCUGAGAGGACGAUCCCCCACACUGGUACUGAGACACGGACCAGACUCCUACGGGAGGCAGCAGUGAGGAAUAUUGGUCAAUGGGCGAAAGCCUGAUCCAGCCAUGCCGCGUGAGUGAUGAAGGCCCUAGGGUUGUAAAGCUCUUUCAACGGUGAAGAUAAUGACGGUAACCGUAGAAGAAGCCCCGGUAACUUCGUGCCAGCAGCCCGCGGUAAACACGAGAGUA
RNAcentral lists this ribosomal RNA (495 nucleotides) under uncultured bacterium. RNAcentral describes it as "bacterial SSU rRNA". It matches the Rfam family "Bacterial small subunit ribosomal RNA", at positions 28 to 533 of the family's 1533-position model. The record is from RNAcentral.